This 2456-nucleotide long non-coding RNA is filed under the name Podarcis muralis (Common wall lizard). Its description in RNAcentral is "lncRNA (ENSPMRG00000010722.1)". The record is from RNAcentral. Lineage: Eukaryota; Metazoa; Chordata; Lepidosauria; Squamata; Lacertidae.
AUGCUAUCUCACGGAAAGGGAGCGACUUUCCACGUACACCCCUCUGAGGGGAUCCUGAAGGCCUUCGAGGAGCUUGUGGUCAAUAUAACAGCUUAUAACAACAUGUGGGGGCAAUAUGAGGACACCCUCAUCUGUAAGGUGGGGGAAUCGGAGCCGAUGUUGAUCCCCAUCCGAAUGACUGUGAAAGGCUGCCCAAUCUUCUUGCAGAUGACAGGACCCAGCCAUCCCAUGCCAACGCCCGUAAUCAGGUAUAAUAAUAGUAAUAAUUUAUUACUUACACUCCACCCAUCUAACUGGGUUGCCCCAGCCCCUCUAGAAGGCUUCCAACAUAAUAUAAAAACACAUCAAAUGUUAAAAACUUCCCGAUACCAGGCUGCCUUCAGAUGUCUAUGAAAGUCGAGCAGUUGUUUAUCUGUUUGACAUCCGGUGGAAGGGGAUUCCACAGGGUGGGUACCACUACCAAGAAGGCUCUCUGCCUCAUAAAAACCUACCUGCUCUUCGCAAGGCAGUUGAGGCUGUGUCUGCAUUCAGGAUGGGCAAAACCUUGUCCAUAUUUGGUCCCUGUUCAGUUUCUCAUUUUCAGAUCUUAAGUGUAGUUCUCCACAUUGGUUUUUCUAAAUUGUCGAAAGUAUGAAAAUUCACCAGUAUUCUGUGAAUUUUCCCCUAGUAUGCACAUUUUUCUGUGCCUAGCAUAAUUUUUUAAUAUCGAUUCUCCCUAAUGUAAUGCAUUUUUUGUAUGUAAUUUUCAGUAACGUGCAUUUUGAUUCACACUUUGCCCUAGCGUUUGAAUUUUGUACACAUUACUUGGCUAAAGAACCAUAUUGCAGAAUUUGGAGCAGGGAUUAUUUUGAUGAACAGCUGCAUUUUCUAUUCGCAUUCUGUUUCCAGAAGUGCGACUUAAGGAGGUUCACCUUUAAAGGGGAUUCUCUGUCAGGAUUCCCAAGCCCUUCUGACCCAGCUGCCCCGGAGGAGAGCAGAGCCUUGUGGCAGAGGCAUGUCCCCUUCAACAGAAAGACCAGAACGUAGACUUAAGUGAUGCAUACCCAGGUGACCCCAUUUUUCUUCUCCAGGUUUGGGGCCCACAUCUCCGGAGGGGAUACAGUCUCGCGGUACGUCCGGCUCAACAACCCCACCCCCUUUGGUAAGUGAAGAGGAUGUUUGCCCUUUGUGAGAAGCAUUAUGGCAAAAGCAGGGGUCCUGUUUCCAACCCAGCACCGAGUGGGGCCCGAGUGGGGCCAGAGGCAGAGCAAUAAAUGUACAUUACCGUAUUAUUCGCUCUAUAAGACACACUUUUCCCCCUCCAAAAAUUAAGGGGAAAUGUGUGUGUGUCUUAUGGAGCGAAUGCAGGCUCCUUGGCUUCAGCGAUAGCAACCACAAAACCUCUGAAGCGCAGAGGGAGCACUCCCUCCGUGCUCCGGAGGCUUCGGGUUGCUUUCACUGAAGCCAGGAGAGCAAGACUCUCCUGGAUUCAGCGAAAGGAACCUGAAGCCCCUGGAGCGCAGCGGAAAGUCCCGCUGCACUCCGAAGGCUUUGGGUUGCCUUCACUGAAGCCUGGAGAGCGAGAGGGGUCAGUGUUCACCGACCCCUCUCGCUCUCCAGGCUUCAGGGAUAGCCGCCUGAAGCCGGAGGCUUCGGGUUGCUUCGCUGAAGCCAGGAGAGCGAGACGGAUCGGUGCACACCAAUCCCUCUUGUUCUCCUGGCUUUGCUUCGCUGGAGAGGCGCUGCACAGCUUUCCCUCUCUGCGCAGCGCCCCUUCAGCGAAGUGAGAGGAGAAAUGGAAGGGGCUCUGUUUCUCCUGCCGCUUCGCUGAAGGGGCGCUGAGCAGAGGGGGAGAUUUUUUUUUCUUGUUCUCCCCCUCUAAAACAAGGUGCAUCCUAUGGUCGGGCGUGUCCUAUAGAGUGAAAAAUACGGUGGUUCCUUUGCACAGCAGGCUGCUUUCUGCUGUGCAAAUAUUAAUGCACCCCUCUCUUUUCAUCCAACCAAGCAAGGAGCAUUAUCAGAGUCCAUGGACACUUUUCAGCAAAACACUUGGGCAAGGGAGGGGAGUUCCAGGCGCCAGGCAGACACCCAGAGCAGCUUAUAUUUGUCUCAUGGGCCUGAGUUUCCCCACUUCUGCAUUACAGUGUUUUUGUUGCUGCGACAAUGGCAAAGGCCCAGUAGCAACCAGUUCCAGUAGGAAGCUUUUGAGCAUCUUUCACUGAGCUCUCCUUGCCUUUGUGGGGAUACUGAAUGAGCUACAAUCCCGGCAGUUUUGGAAUUUCCAUGUUAACCAACAGCGGUUCAAGGCUCCAUGCUGUCCCAUAGGCUAAGGUUUUGUGGUGAAUGUCCCAAGGGCAUUUCUGUGGUCUCAGAACUUUCCCCUGCUCGCCUGCUUCCAAUGUUGUCUUUGCAACAUUGCCACUCUGGGUAGCUUCCAGCAAAAUAUUAAUAACACAAUAAAACCUCAAAUAUUAAAA